GGUUAAGCGACUAAGCGUACACGGUGGAUGCCCUGGCAGUCAGAGGCGAUGAAGGACGUGCUAAUCUGCGAUAAGCGCCGGUAAGGUGAUAUGAACCGUUAUAACCGGCGAUUUCCGAAUGGGGAAACCCAGUGUGACUCGUCACACUAUCAUUAACUGAAUCCAUAGGUUAAUGAGGCGAACCGGGGGAACUGAAACAUCUAAGUACCCCGAGGAAAAGAAAUCAACCGAGAUUCCCCCAGUAGCGGCGAGCGAACGGGGAGGAGCCCAGAGCCUGAAUCAGCAUGUGUGUUAGUGGAAGCGUCUGGAAAGGCGCGCGAUACAGGGUGACAGCCCCGUACACAAAAGCGCAUGUGCUGUGAGCUCGAUGAGUAGGGCGGGACACGUGGUAUCCUGUCUGAAUAUGGGGGGACCAUCCUCCAAGGCUAAAUACUCCUGACUGACCGAUAGUGAACCAGUACCGUGAGGGAAAGGCGAAAAGAACCCCGGCGAGGGGAGUGAAAAAGAACCUGAAACCGUGUACGUACAAGCAGUGGGAGCACCCUUUGGGGUGUGACUGCGUACCUUUUGUAUAAUGGGUCAGCGACUUAUAUUCUGUAGCAAGGUUAACCGAAUAGGGGAGCCGGAGGGAAACCGAGUCUUAAUUGGGCGUUAAGUUGCAGGGUAUAGACCCGAAACCCGGUGAUCUAGCCAUGGGCAGGUUGAAGGU
This 709-nucleotide ribosomal RNA is filed under the name Salmonella enterica. RNAcentral describes it as "partial 23S ribosomal RNA". It matches the Rfam family "Bacterial large subunit ribosomal RNA", at positions 1 to 752 of the family's 2925-position model. Lineage: Bacteria; Pseudomonadati; Pseudomonadota; Gammaproteobacteria; Enterobacterales; Enterobacteriaceae. The record is from RNAcentral.